CCUACGGGAGGCUGCAGUGAGGAAUAUUUGUCAAUGGGCGGAAGCCUGAACCAGCCAAGUCGCGUGAGGGAUUAAGGCUCUUCGGGUCGUAAACCUCUGUUGCCGGGGAGCAGUGGUCCGGGCGCGUCCGGACCGGGAGAGUACCCGGUGAAAAAGCAUCGGCUAACUCCGUGCCAGCAGCCGCGGUAAUACGGGGGAUGCGAGCGUGAUCCGGAUUGAUUGGGUUUAAAGGGGUCGUAGGCGGGCAUUUAAGCCGGCGGUAAAAUGUCGGGGCUAAACCCCGGCCUGCCGUCGGAACUGGGUGAUUAGAGUGGGCGAGAAGGACGCGGAAUGCGCGGUGUAGCGGUGAAAUGCUUAGAUAUCGCGCAGAACCCCGAUUGCGAAGGCAGCGUACCGGCUACACACUGACGCUGAGGCACGAAGGCGUGGGUAUCGAACAGGAUUAGAUACCCUGGUAGUC
RNAcentral lists this ribosomal RNA (460 nucleotides) under uncultured bacterium. RNAcentral describes it as "partial 16S ribosomal RNA". It matches the Rfam family "Bacterial small subunit ribosomal RNA", at positions 338 to 795 of the family's 1533-position model. The record is from RNAcentral.